AUACACUAUGAUGCUUUUGAGAGACUCGCCCAGUUCAUUUAACAAAAAGCAAGGCUGAAUCACACCACAAAUUAAGUUCAUGAUUAUUCUGACUGUCAGGAUUAUGAUGAAGAAUGUGGAUUAAAUGUCUUACCAGUGACUCGGACAUGGAUUGAGUUCAUUCCUGAUCCUGUGACGUUUUUUGGAUGAUAUUUUGUAAAUGAGUACACGCAACUGUAGGUACCAGAGUCCCGUAAUGAAAUAUUCCUCAAAGUGAAGGUGUGCUCAUUUUUAUUUCCAAGUAGUUCUAAUCUCUCUCCAACACCAUUUUUACACAAAUACAUGUGAACAUCUGUAUUUGAGCUCUGGAUGUUAGAGAUGCUGCACGUUAAUGCUACAUUUUCCCCAACUUUUGCUGUGGAGGGUCCAAAAAUUUGUGCUGGAAAAAUCUUCAACGCAUCACCUGUUGA
This is a long non-coding RNA of Ictalurus punctatus (channel catfish), 449 nucleotides long. NCBI's taxonomy places the organism in Eukaryota, Metazoa, Chordata, Actinopteri, Siluriformes, Ictaluridae. The record is from Ensembl.